This is a non-coding RNA of Dipodomys ordii (Ord's kangaroo rat), 72 nucleotides long. The record is from Rfam. Lineage: Eukaryota; Metazoa; Chordata; Mammalia; Rodentia; Heteromyidae.
GGGAAGGUGGCUCAGUGGUAGAGUGCUUGUCUUGCAGGCAUGAGGCCUUGGGUUUGAUUCCUCAGCAUCACA